RNAcentral lists this ribosomal RNA (253 nucleotides) under uncultured bacterium. RNAcentral's name for it is "partial 16S ribosomal RNA". It matches the Rfam family "Bacterial small subunit ribosomal RNA", at positions 524 to 776 of the family's 1533-position model. The record is from RNAcentral.
UACGGAGGGUGCAAGCGUUAUCCGGAUUCACUGGGUUUAAAGGGUGCGUAGGCGGACAGGUAAGUCAGUGGUGAAAUCUCUGGGCUUAACCCAGAAACUGCCGUUGAUACUAUUUGUCUUGAAUAUCCUGGAGGUAGGCGGAAUAUGUCAUGUAGCGGUGAAAUGCUUAGAUAUGACAUAGAACACCGAUAGCGAAGGCAGCUGGCUACACGAAUAUUGACACUGAUGCACGAAAGCGUGGGGAUCAAACAGG